UCCCUGGUGGCUCAGACGGUAAAGCGUCUGCCUGCAAUGCGGGAGACCUGGGUUCGAUUCCUGGAUCGGGAA
This 72-nucleotide transfer RNA is filed under the name Bos taurus (domestic cattle). It matches the Rfam family "tRNA". From Rfam's summary of the family: Transfer RNA (tRNA) molecules are approximately 80 nucleotides in length. Their secondary structure includes four short double-helical elements and three loops (D, anti-codon, and T loops). The record is from Rfam by way of RNAcentral. Lineage: Eukaryota; Metazoa; Chordata; Mammalia; Artiodactyla; Bovidae. RNAcentral also lists the same sequence under 2 other names.